UCAAACUUGGUCAUUUAGAGGAAGUAAAAGUCGUAACAAGGUCUCCGUUGGUGAACCAGCGGAGGGAUCAUUACCGAGUUUACAACUCCCAAACCCUUUGUGAACAUACCAUAUCGUUGCUUCGGCGGGACCGCCCCGGCGCCUUCGCGCGCCGGAACCGGGCGCCCGCCGGGGGCCCGAAACUCUUGCCUUUUUCAGCGGAAUUCUUCUGAGUGGCACAUAAGCAAAAAAUGAAUCAAAACUUUCAACAACGGAUCUCUUGGUUCUGGCAUCGAUGAAGAACGCAGC
RNAcentral lists this unclassified non-coding RNA (288 nucleotides) under uncultured fungus. RNAcentral's name for it is "partial contains small subunit ribosomal RNA, internal transcribed spacer 1, and 5.8S ribosomal RNA". The stretch from base 1 to 73 matches the Rfam family "Eukaryotic small subunit ribosomal RNA", at positions 1759 to 1831 of the family's 1831-position model. Lineage: Eukaryota; Fungi. The record is from RNAcentral.